GACUAGCACACCACCCUGAACAAGCCUGAUCCCGUCUGAUCUCGGAAGCUAAGCAGGGUCGAGCCUGGUUAGUACUUGGAUGGGAGAGACCAGGUGCUUUAGGCA
This 105-nucleotide ribosomal RNA is filed under the name Pteropus alecto (black flying fox). Lineage: Eukaryota; Metazoa; Chordata; Mammalia; Chiroptera; Pteropodidae. The record is from RNAcentral.